ACCAGGAUGGCCGAGUGGUUAAGGCAUUGGACUUAAGAUAUAAUUGGCUACAGCCCUCAUGGGUUUAAACCCCACUCCUGUUA
Molecule: transfer RNA, 83 nt
Filed under: Perca fluviatilis (European perch)
Lineage: Eukaryota; Metazoa; Chordata; Actinopteri; Perciformes; Percidae
Rfam family: tRNA
About the family: Transfer RNA (tRNA) molecules are approximately 80 nucleotides in length.
Source: Rfam by way of RNAcentral